Molecule: ribosomal RNA, 492 nt
Filed under: uncultured bacterium
Lineage: Bacteria
Description: partial 16S ribosomal RNA
Rfam family: Bacterial small subunit ribosomal RNA
Source: RNAcentral
AUUGAACGCUGGCGGCAUGCUUUACACAUGCAAGUCGAACGGUAACAGGCCUUCGGGUGCUGACGAGUGGCGAACGGGUGAGUAAUGCAUCGGAACGUACCUAGAGGUGGGGGAUAACGCAGCGAAAGCUGUGCUAAUACCGCAUGUGAUCUGAGGAUGAAGGCGGGGGACCGAGCAGCAAUGUUUGGCCUCGCGCCUUUGGAGCGGCCGAUGUCGGAUUAGCUAGUUGGUGGGGUAAAGGCCUACCAAGGCGACGAUCCGUAGCUGGUCUGAGAGGACGACCAGCCACACUGGGACUGAGACACGGCCCAGACUCCUACGGGAGGCAGCAGUGGGGAAUUUUGGACAAUGGGCGCAAGCCUGAUCCAGCAAUGCCGCGUGCGGGAAGAAGGCCUUCGGGUUGUAAACCGCUUUUGGCAGGAACGAAACGGUGUCCGCUAAUACCGGGCGCUAAUGACGGUACCUGCAGAAUAAGCACCGGCUAACUACGUG